This 253-nucleotide ribosomal RNA is filed under the name uncultured bacterium. Its description in RNAcentral is "partial 16S ribosomal RNA". It matches the Rfam family "Bacterial small subunit ribosomal RNA", at positions 524 to 776 of the family's 1533-position model. The record is from RNAcentral.
UACAGAGGGUGCAAACGUUGUUCGGAAUUACUGGGCGUAAAGCGCGUGCAGGCGGCCUUGCAAGUCGGACGUGAAAUCCCACGGCUCAACCGUGGAAGUGCAUUCGAAACUGCGAGGCUGGAGUCCUGGAGAGGAAAGUGGAAUACUCGGUGUAGAGGUGAAAUGCAUAGAUACAAUCAAGAACACCGAUUGCGUAGGCAGCUUACUAGGCUGUAACUGACGCUGAGGCACGAAAGCGUGGGGAGCGAACAGG